Molecule: ribosomal RNA, 463 nt
Filed under: uncultured bacterium
Lineage: Bacteria
Description: bacterial SSU rRNA
Rfam family: Bacterial small subunit ribosomal RNA
Source: RNAcentral
GCAAGUCGAACGAAGCACUGUGGAAAGAGACUCGGUCAAUUGAAACUUGACUAGUGGCGGACGGGUGAGUAAUGCAUCGAGCAACCUGCCCUGGAGAGGGGGACGAACAGCUGGAAACGGCUGCGUAAUACCGCAUGAUGUCUCGGGGGGCAUCCCUUGACGACCAAAGAUUUAUCGCUCUGGGAUGGGCUCAUGUCUGAUUAGAUAGUUGGCGGGGUAACGGCCCACCAAGUCUGCGAUCAGUAGCCGGACUGAGAGGUUGAACGGCCACAUUGGGACUGAGAUACGGCCCAGACUCCUACGGGAGGCAGCAGUGGGGAAUAUUGGGCAAUGGGCGCAAGCCUGACCCAGCAACGCCGCGUGAAGGAAGAAGGCUUUCGGGUUGUAAACUUCUUUUAUCAGGGACGAAGAAAGUGACGGUACCUGAUGAAUAAGCCACGGCUAACUACGUGCCAGCAGCAGC